RNAcentral lists this transfer RNA (72 nucleotides) under Aedes aegypti (yellow fever mosquito). It matches the Rfam family "tRNA". From Rfam's summary of the family: Transfer RNA (tRNA) molecules are approximately 80 nucleotides in length. Their secondary structure includes four short double-helical elements and three loops (D, anti-codon, and T loops). Lineage: Eukaryota; Metazoa; Arthropoda; Insecta; Diptera; Culicidae. The record is from Rfam by way of RNAcentral.
AGUUCGAUAGCUUAGUUUGUAAAGCGCUUGUCUAACAUAGAAGAGUCCUGGGUUUGAAUCCCAGCCGAGCAC